This 352-nucleotide unclassified non-coding RNA is filed under the name Enterocytozoon bieneusi. The stretch from base 1 to 83 matches the Rfam family "Microsporidia small subunit ribosomal RNA", at positions 1229 to 1311 of the family's 1311-position model. Lineage: Eukaryota; Fungi; Microsporidia; Enterocytozoonidae. The record is from RNAcentral.
GGCUUCGGCUCUGAAUAUCUAUGGCUAGAUAAAGUACAAGUCGUAACAAGGUUUCAGUUGGAGAACGAGCUGAAGGAUCAUUUUCAGUUUUUUGGGUGUGGGUAUCGGAAUGUGUGGUAGGUGAUAUGUGUGUCUAUGGGGGAUUCCAAGGGGACCAGCGGUGCGGUGGUGUGUGUAGGCGUGAGAGUGUAUCUGCAAGGGUGAGGGAUGUGGAUGCAGCGAGUUAGAGGUGGUUCCAUGUGGAAUAGUGGGAUUGGUACGUGAUGGUUGGAUGGGGGAAUGAUGUGUAUAUGGGUGAGGAAAAUCGGGAGGUUGCGGUGCGAAGCGGCAGUAGGGUGCCUUCAAGAGGUGU